GACGAACGCUGGCGGCGUGCUUAACACAUGCAAGUCGAACGGAAAGGCCCUGCUUGCAGGGUACUCGAGUGGCGAACGGGUGAGUAACACGUGGGUGAUCUGCCCUGCACUUCGGGAUAAGCCUGGGAAGCUGGGUCUAAUACCGGAUAGGAGCCAUUUUUAGUGUGAUGGUUGGAAAGUUUUUUCGGUGUAGGAUGAGCUCGCGGCCUAUCAGCUUGUUGGUGGGGUAAUGGCCUACCAAGGCGGCGACGGGUAGCCGGCCUGAGAGGGUGGACGGCCACAUUGGGACUGAGAUACGGCCCAGACUCCUACGGGAGGCAGCAGUGGGGAAUAUUGCACAAUGGGCGCAAGCCUGAUGCAGCGACGCCGCGUGGGGGAUGACGGCCUUCGGGUUGUAAACUCCUUUCGCUAGGGACGAAGCUUUUUGUGACGGUACCUAGAUAAGAAGCACCGGCUAACUACGU
RNAcentral lists this ribosomal RNA (464 nucleotides) under uncultured bacterium. Its description in RNAcentral is "partial 16S ribosomal RNA". It matches the Rfam family "Bacterial small subunit ribosomal RNA", at positions 28 to 506 of the family's 1533-position model. The record is from RNAcentral.